CGCGGGGUGGAGCAGUGGUAGCUCGUCGGGCUCAUAACCCGAAGGUCACAGGUUCAAAUCCUGUCCCCGCAA
Non-coding RNA from Lysinibacillus contaminans, 72 nucleotides. NCBI's taxonomy places the organism in Bacteria, Bacillati, Bacillota, Bacilli, Caryophanales, Bacillaceae. The record is from Rfam.